ACAGCAGCCCUGGAGACUGAUGGCCUGGCCUCCAUUAUUUAUCCUCAGAGGAAGUCCAGCAACACCAACAACUUCCUAUGCAAUACCAAUCACUGAUGUGUCUCAACUCUGACCUGGAGGGACUCCCUCUGAAAUUUAGGGGAGUUCAGUCUCCAUGGCUCAUUUCGUCCUCAGCCUGU
Chelonoidis abingdonii (Abingdon island giant tortoise) is the source of this 179-nucleotide unclassified non-coding RNA. The record is from Ensembl. NCBI's taxonomy places the organism in Eukaryota, Metazoa, Chordata, Testudines, Testudinidae.